Molecule: long non-coding RNA, 3499 nt
Organism: Columba livia (rock pigeon)
Lineage: Eukaryota; Metazoa; Chordata; Aves; Columbiformes; Columbidae
Exons: 2
Source: RefSeq, a predicted model, not a curated record
CGGGCACUCACAAAGGCGAGGGCAGGUCUGGGGGGAAGGAACGGCGGUGAGAAAUGGCUCCUGCUGCGGCUCUUUGCCGGGAGGCUGGAGGGUUGGGGAGGUUGCUCUGCCCUCCUGCCCGCCCCGCGCUUGCACCUCGGUUGGGAGCACACCACGGUGCUGCCACGGCCAAAGGCAGAGCUGGCACGUGAAGAUGUUGCCCAGCACACCGUGGUGACACCAGUCACCUCCCAUCGCCCCUGCUGGCACAGCCCUUCGCAUGUGGUGUGGGACCGUCCUGUGACAGCUGGGACGUGCUGCAAAUGAGGAAACCUGGUAAAUCAGAGAGCACAGAGUCCAGUCCUGGUGGGAGCUUCGUUAACGACCAGACUGGUACAUCAGUGAGAUGGCUGAUGAUGCUCCUCACCGUGGCGGUGAUGCUCGGCCGGGUGAGUCCCACUGUGGGUAUUUCAUCCUCACCCACCUGGCUCUGGAAAUCUCGACGACAUAGAAGAUCCUCCCAGAGCCUCCAUCUCUCUCUGCCCCUCUCUCUGGGCCAGAAACCGUGGUAGGAGCCAGGUUCUGCCGCAGCACAUCCAGCUGGUGGCCUGGAGAACCCCAUGGCCUGACACAGCCCGGCCACGGGCACCGUGGGGUGGGAAGGGUUGGCAGGAGCGUCAGCUCCCAGAAUGUGUCAGAAAGGCCAGCUCAUGAUUAACGACUAAUUAGGAAAUGUCUGUCAUGAUUAUUAUCCUAACGAUCCCGGUAAGGAAAGCUCCUUACCUUAGGAAAAAAAUGGAUGUUGGCUCCAAUAGUCCCCAAAUGGAACAGCCCACUGUGGGAAACUCCAGACUUCUAUAAAAACAAAUAGUCUCGGGUUUGCGUAUGAGAUUUUAUUUUUAAGUAAGCCAAAGCCAACCGGAUGAUUUUUCAUGUUGCUCUGUAACCUGGGGGCUUGUCAGGGCUGGCAGGGCCGAGGGGACUGGGCACGUGGCUCUGCCGGGGCACCGCGGGCUCUGUCCGGGACACACACACCAUCUGGGGCUCCUCCUCACAGCACAGCAACGGCCCAAACCCACCACAGACCUUCCACUAAAACUACAGAAUGAAGCACAAAGCCACUGAAGGGACUAGUGCCAUUGCAUCAGGUGAGCUUCGUUAAUCCUUUGUGACAUCACUUUACGUCAAAGCUGAUGGCACAGGCAAUGCCAGCGUUGGAUUCAACGCCCUAACUGGACAGUCAGGUAUUUGGUUUAGUAUUGCAUUUCAAUGGGAUCAUUUUUUGUCAUUGCUAAGGUAUAUUCAGAACAGACACAGUGGUUAAGAAGUAAAAUUUUAAAUAUAUCAGAAUUUGCCUAGAAAGACAUUCCCAAGCAAUACAAUGUCUCUAACGAACAGGUAUUAUUCUAGUCCAGCUCUAAAGCCAUUAGCCCAUGUACUCCUUCUUAGGCUUCCCAGCAACUCCCUUUAGCUUCAGGAGCUCAGCUCAGAGGAUUAGGAAAUAGAUCAGCUAAAGUCUGGAAAAUGGAAAGUGCUCUGUAACUGAGCUGGGCUGUCACAGGGAUGGCCACAGGGAAACUUCUCUGGGGUCAAUGAGACGUGUCCAGUUAUAUCGACAAGUAUUUUCCAGCUACAACAUCAACCCAAUACUUCAUUUUGUCAAGAAAUUGGUGAGCACAGACAUAGCCAUGCAACCAGAAAUUAGUCUUGCCCUGAGUUUAGUACAUUAAGAAACCAAACAGCCAGAAAGAAAACGUACCGUGCACGCAGCAGUUUGAAAGCACGCAGAGCAAAUGGGGUUUGGGGCACCGCUGUGUCACCCCCAACCGCGAGGUGCCUCGGCGGUCACGGCCCCGCUCCAGCGCCAGGACAGCCCACAGGCCGGGGCCGAUCUGCUUUAGCACCUGCAGAGCUGAGCUCAGUUGUUCCUUUCUCCACAACGGGAGGGACAUCGAGCCCGGACUGUGUCGGGCCCUCAGCAAGGGCUUCUCCAGCUCAGUGAGUGCACAGCUAGAAGUGAUCAGAAUACAAACACUGAGCGGUGAGGAUGGAGCACAAGCCUGUUUCCCCAUCUCUAAAAACACCUGCAUUUCCUUUUGUGGCAGCAACCCCACAUAAAGCACCUUCCCCAAAGAAAGAUGUAAAAGUGCAUCUGACACCCACACCACGGGUCCUCGCAGCAGAGCUGCUGUGCGGCCGCAUCUCAGCCCCCCAUGGUGCCACUGUCCCCAGCACCCCCAACCCGCACGCGGCCCUGGGUGCCACCAGGUCACCCAUGGCUGGUGGCAAAUCCAUGGCAUCGGCCACCACGGCCCUCAGGUCCCUCAGGAGAGUUAAGAUGAUGCUGACUCGGAAACCACGAGCUCUCUGUUUACUUCAUCUCAUAUAUGGUGACUAAUUCCAUCGUUCAAAGAGCUGACGAUGAUGAAAACAAGUGGAACGAUCAGGAAGGAAAUUAAAAAUAGCCCUCCUGUGGCACUGUGUCAAGUGUUCAUGUUUAGAUUUUAAUUUCAUUUUUUUAUUCUAAGCUUCUUUGAUAAAAUAUUUUCCCAUGCUGAACACACUUGGAACGUCCCCUCCAUCGCGGCAUUCCUGACGGAUGAGCCAGGCGGCCGCGGACCCUAUGCCAGGGCCGUAUUCCCUCCGCUCCGCUAUUCUCACUCCCACAUCCACACCUUUGGGACUGGAAGCCAUUAAUCAUCACGCCCCAGCCAGGACGGUACCUCUGGAGGCAGAAACACCAUCUUGGACACAGUACGGGAAGGAAACCCUGAUUUGACAGCCAGCACCAGACCGGGACCACAUCGCUGCUUGGAUCUAUGUGGCAGCAGACACCUCACUGCAGGGGUUCCAAGAACAGGCUGCCAAGGUCUCAUCAUGUCAAAUUACUGAGUUGCAAAAAUAGGAGACACCCCUCUGUCCUCAGGCUCCCACCACUCACUUACCACCUGUAUGGGUAACACAAGCAGCUACAGUCUCUCUGUUUAGGGGGAUGCAUUAAAAUCCCAUUUGUUAAAAAUUGGUAAAAGAAAUCCAAGGGUGGAGGGAAUCCUGAAAACAGCAUUUACAAGGAGAAAUGGUCGUCAGGAUGUCUUGGUUCCUUCUGCGGGGGCGCAGGGAUGUGACUGUGGUAUGGAUAAUAAACUGUGAACAACCGUCACAGCGGCUGCUCUGCCGUGCGCCUGUACAGACACAACGGGACGCUGCAGAGCGAGGGUGCUCGGCUCCCAGGGCUGGGGAGGACGCUGCGUGCACCACAAGUAACUUAAAUUUUCUGUGAUGCAGUAGGCAGGGAAGCGGAGAUCCGUGACUUCUGGGAAGAGGGAGCUUUUAUGGAUCAGUUACCGGAAAACUAGAAGACUGCCUUCCCAAAGUAGUGGGGAAAGCCCAUGCUCAUAAGUCCCUUUAAAAUCCUCCCUGCAGCAGGUACAGCCCGUGGGACUGCAGGCAGCAGUGAGCAGCCCGGGAUGCUCAUCCUGAGCCCAAUAUCAGCCAAUUCCAAUUAAACAUCUAUAAGAGA